RNAcentral lists this ribosomal RNA (685 nucleotides) under Celeribacter sp. Its description in RNAcentral is "bacterial SSU rRNA". It matches the Rfam family "Bacterial small subunit ribosomal RNA", at positions 153 to 874 of the family's 1533-position model. Lineage: Bacteria; Pseudomonadati; Pseudomonadota; Alphaproteobacteria; Rhodobacterales; Roseobacteraceae. The record is from RNAcentral.
CAAACUGGGUUUAAUACCGUAUACGCCCUUCGGGGGAAAGAAUUUCGGUGAGGGAUCGGCCCGCGUUAGAUUAGUUAGUUGGUGGGGUAAUGGCCUACCAAGACUACGAUCUAUAGCUGGUUUGAGAGGAUGAUCAGCAACACUGGGACUGAGACACGGCCCAGACUCCUACGGGAGGCAGCAGUGGGGAAUCUUAGACAAUGGGGGCAACCCUGAUCUAGCGAUGCCGCGUGAGUGAUGAAGGCCUUAGGGUCGUAAAGCUCUUUCGCCUGUGAUGAUAAUGACAGUAGCAGGUAAAGAAACCCCGGCUAACUCCGUGCCAGCAGCCGCGGUAAUACGGAGGGGGUUAGCGUUGUUCGGAAUUACUGGGCGUAAAGCGCACGUAGGCGGAUUAGUCAGUCAGAGGUGAAAUCCCAGGGCUCAACCCUGGAACUGCCUUUGAUACUGCUAGUCUUGAGUUCGAGAGAGGUAAGUGGAAUUCCGAGUGUAGAGGUGAAAUUCGUAGAUAUUCGGAGGAACACCAGUGGCGAAGGCGGCUUACUGGCUCGAUACUGACGCUGAGGUGCGAAAGUGUGGGGAGCAAACAGGAUUAGAUACCCUGGUAGUCCACACCGUAAACGAUGAAUGCCAGUCGUCGGGUAGCAUGCUAUUCGGUGACACACCUAACGGAUUAAGCAUUCCGCCU